This 15212-nucleotide long non-coding RNA is filed under the name Marmota monax (woodchuck). The stretch from base 3033 to 3103 matches the Rfam family "tRNA". Lineage: Eukaryota; Metazoa; Chordata; Mammalia; Rodentia; Sciuridae. The record is from RNAcentral.
AUCCAGCAUCAGGAACAAGAAUCUGUGCGUCUAAAACUUCAACACACUUUGGAUGUAAAGGUAAGGAUUUCUUUAAAUUAUAAAUAGCAGUUUAAGCAGAAUUAAAACCUUUGUUUGAUAAUCUUUUAGAUUUUCUUCAUGUACUUUACAUACACUUAAAUAUACUUUAAGCAUUAUUUGAUACUAGCAAUUAUUAAAAUCUGUGCAAACAUCCUUAUAUAUUAUAGCCAUAAUUUUUAUGUAGGAUAACAAAUGGAAACACCACAUUUUAUCCUAAGUUGAUAGUAAGCAAGUAAAAUACAAGUACCUGCCUGGGGAAUACCUAAGGGAAGAGCCUUCCACACAGAGGCAUGGAGCAAGUGCAGACUCAAAGAACUGGUGUUUGGCUUAUUUGGGAAAUAACAAAAGUGAUGUAAUCUACAUGACCAAAAUGUUUUUUAAGAACAGUAUACUUUACACUGAAAUAUGUAUCUGUUUUCAGAAGUAUACUACAAGUUGCCAACAUAUUUUAAAGUCUUUUUCUUUUUCUUCUUUGUAUGUACAGGGCGUGGUAGAGGAUCCUGGGAUAGAACCCAGGGCCUUGUACAUGUAGACAAAUGCUCUACCAGGGAGCUGCAUCCUUAGCCUUUAAAGUCUUGAUUCGGAUUUCAUCUGUGAAGAUUAAAACAAUGCAUUUUGGUUUCACAAUUCUUUAGAGUUGUAUGAAGGUACAAUUUUGCUCAUAUCUGUAUUGUUUUCCAGGAUCUUCAGGGCCCUGGAUUUACCGCAAAUCCUUCAUUGAAACCACACCUUCUCCAGACAGCAUCUGCUAUCCGUUCUCAUUCUAAUGUACCAUCUUCCCAGUCCACAGUCAGCUUCCUAUCUCAUGUAAGUAACCAAUCUUUAAUCCAUGACUCAAUAACAUAAUAUGUAAGUAACUUUAAACUGGGAAAUUUUCACUAAAAAAUAAUAAGUAGCAUUUUCAGUUACUAGGUUUUAGAUUUGUACAUUUUCCUAUAAAUCCAAUGGAGACCAUGUGAAUGAAAAUACUUUCUUCAGUAUUUGGUAUUUUCCUGGGGAAAACAGAACUGAAAUAUUCAGUGUGAAAUUAACAAUAAUGAUUAAAUUAUUUAAUAGCAUUAUAUUGAAUUCUUUAAUUAUUUCCAUUACAAGCAUUUUUAGAUUACAAAGCAAACAUUGAUAUGGCUAAAACAAGCAUCACUUCGAAUGCCAAGGGCAAGUUGAUACAUUUAAUACUCUACCAUGUUGAAAAUUAUUUACCAUAUAUUGUUUCCUCAUGAAUUUAUUUUAAGUAAACCAUUUUAUUAAUCAUAAAAUUUUUAAGCCCUUUAGUUAAAAUGUUAGUAACUUUGGAAAUUUGUUAGUUUAAAUUUAAUUUCAUGAUUUUAAAGCUCAAGAAAAAAAUAUGUACAAUGUAAAAUUUAGGUUUUGUUUCCUUGGAAGAUAUAAAUUCCUUAUAAUCACUAUUCAGCUGUAACUCUAGGUAAAUGAGACUUAUUUAAUCAAUUUUACUAAUUAAAAAUCCUGUCUAAUGUAUGGUAGCAAGAUCACCAGUACCAUUAUUAGUUGUCCUUAGUACUAGUCAUUUCAUCAGUACCGUUUAAAUCAAAAUUGUUUAUUAAUUAAAUGACUAAAAGUUGAAAUGGACUCUCAUCCAUUUAAGAUGUAUGCUCUGAUAAAUAAACUACCACAAAUAAUCUUUUACUAAGUAAUAGAAUAAUUAUAAUAAUAUUAGAGGUUGAACAUUGUCUCUCUGUCUCACUGGAGUUCAGAAGAUGGCAGGUGAAGGGCAGGAAACUGCAGCUUUUUAAGUGUUCUAAAAUUGUUUUAACUUUAAAAAAUAUGAUCAUGUUACAUUUACAAAAAUUAAAUUAACCCCCCAAAAGUAAUGAAACAAAUUAUAACAAUGAAACAAAUUAUAACAACAAAGAUCAUCCUACUAGAGAUUGUUGGGGCCAUGAAUGUAUCUUUAACUUCUUUCUGUGACCUUGGGCAAGUCUAUUAGAUAUAGCUGUUAGAUAUAUUCAUCUCUAAUAAAAAGUUUCUGGACAAGAUGAUCUCUAGGGUCAUCUAGCAUAUGUGAGGCCCUGGGUUCAGUCUCUAGCACACAACAGAGGAGAGGGGAAGGGAGGGGAGAAUUGGCAAAUUUUACCUAGCUGCUUAAUACAUCACUAUAUUUUACUAGGAAGAAUCUUGUGUUAUUCAGCUUUCCAUCACUGUGACAAAAAUACCUGAGAAAAACAACUUAAAGGAGGAAAGAUUUAUUUUUGCUCACAGUUUCAGAGGUCUCAGUCCAUAGUCAGCUGGUUCCAUUGCUUUGGGCCUGAGACAAGGCAGAAUAUAAUGGUAGAAGAGCAUGGAGAAGGGAAGCUGCUCACUUCAUGUCAGGGACAAGAUACAGUACCCAAGGGUAUGUGUUCCCAAGCACCUACUCCCUUCAACUAGCUCUCACCACCUCCCAUUAUUCCAGUCAUCUAUGAAUCUAUCAAUGGAUUAAUCCAUUGAUGAAGUCAGAGCCCUCAUGAUCCAAUCACUUUCCAAAAGCUCCACAUCUGAACACUGCUACCUCAGGGACCAAGCCCUCAACAUGUGAGCCUUUGGGAAAUAGUCCAGAUCCAGACUAUAACAGGUUUCAUUCAUCACUAAAAAAAAAGUACCAGUCAUGUGUCUGUUAAAUGGUUUGGCAUUUUUGUUUUGUUUUGUUUUGGUAGUGGGGAUUAAACCUAGGAGUGUAUCACCAGCUACAUCCUUUUUUAUUUUGGAAUGGCCUUACUAAGUUGAAAAGGCUGGUAGCCUCGAACUUGCUGUCUCCUCCUGCCUCAGCCUCCCAAGUAGCUGGUAUGUCAGGUAUAUAUCACUGUGCCCAGAUCACAUUUUUAAAUAACAAUUCUAAUAGUAAAAAUUAGCUAUACUUCUUGGGAGACUGAGACAGGAAGAUCACAAGUCUGAGAUUAGUCUAUGGCAAUGCAGUAAGAUCCUGUUAAAAAUAAUAAUAGAGAAACUGUCAAGAAUGCUUUCUGCAAUUAUAGUGCUGAGGUGUAGCUCAGUGGUAGAGUACAUGCUUAGCAUGCACAGGCCCUAGGUUCAAUCCCCAGCAUCAAAAAGAACAACAUACAUUCUUUGUUUUGUUCACUGAUGUGUCCCAAGUACCUAGAACUCACUCUCUUCAACUAGGAAAUAGUAGGUAUUCCAUUUAUUUAACGGGUGAAUGAAUUUACUAUGGAGAAUUUCUUCACAUUUCCAUUGUUUCUUCUGAUUAAGUCAGUUUUAAACUAUACUUUUGCUCUUUGGAGGUAAUUUUGUCCUGAGUGCUCUUAAGAUUCUGUUUUGGUUUAUAACAGUUGUCUUACAGCCUGCUUAGGUAUAGUCUUUGUAUCUGUCCUUAGGAUUCACUGAUUUUUCUGGAUGUGUAUAUUGAUAUGUGCAAUGAUUUUAGAAAUUUUUAUGCCUUACUUUAUUACUUUUUCUGCUCUAUUCCCUCUUUUUCUUCUGAGACCCCAGUUACACCUAUUUUUAUGUGUCCUUAUACUUUUUCCCUUUUGCCUAUCCUUUCCUCUCCCUACUUCAGUCUGAUUUUUUGUAAUUUAUUUUCCAGAUCAUUCAUUAUCUCUACACCUGAGUCCAACAUACUACUAAAGCCAUCAAAUAAGUUCUUAAUUUUACAAAUUAUCAUUUCUCAAUAUGAGAUAUCCAUAUUGAAAAACCAUAACAUGAGAUAUCCAUUUAAUUCAUUUAUUACACUUCUGUACAGAAAGUUUUUUCUUAUACUAUUAAAUAAUCAUGAUGAUCUGAACGUUUCUGUCUUCCUGAAAUUCAGUUUGAAACUUAACCCACAAGGUAUGGUAUUAAGAAGUAGGACCUUUGGGAAGUGAUUACGUCAUGAGGGCUUCACCCUCACAAAGGGGACCAGUGUUCUUUAAGAAGAGGUUCUGGGCUGGAGGAUGGAGCUCAGUGAUAGAGCGCUUGCCUAGCAUGUGUGAGGCCCUGGGUUUGAUCCCCAGCACUGCAAAAAUAAAUAAAUAAGAGAGAGAGAAAGAUUCAAGGGAACUUUUUCACCCUUUCCCCCAUGUGAGAACAUAUGGAAGGCCCCAUUUAUGAAGAACAGGCCCUCAAUCUGCUUAUCUUGGAGUUCCUAGCCUCUAAAACUGUAAGCAAUAAAUUUUUAUUUCUUAUAUGCUACCCAGUCUAUGGUAUUUUGCGAAAGCAACCCAAAUGGACUAAGAUAGUAAGUAUUUAAAAUUUUGAAAUAAUUCCAUUAUCUAAAUCUCCUCUAGGCCUAUGAACCUUGUUUCUCUUGAUUUCUAGUAUUAUUGUCUGGUUUCUUUGUUUCUCUUUUUAAUAAUUGAGUUAUAUGCACAGGAAAAAAUUAAAGAGAUAAUUUUGGUUUCUACAUAAUAUUUUUCCUUUAGAGAAUUUACAUUUGCUUUUGGCUAGUAACUAAGUGAAGAACACUCACAAUCCUAUAUCCCCUAACUCAUUAAAGGAUUGAAGUGAUUCAAAUUAAGGUUCUUAUUGCAAAGUCUGAAUUUUAAUCAAAUACCAUCCACCUCUGAUAUUAUUCCAAGUUUCCUCCCUCUAGCUUCUUGAUUCUGCUGAAAGCUCAUGGUAUUUUCUUUGUCUCUCAGCAGCUUCUUUUAGAACUGGCAAAUGUUUCUAGGAAAAGCGACCCCAAAAUUUCACUUGUCUGAAUUUUGGCCAUAAUUCUUUGCUGCUAUGGUAAGCUCUCUAGGCUGACUUUUUUUUUUUUUUUUUGUAGUCCUGGUAUUGAAUCCAAGGCUUGUACAGGCUGGACAAACAUUCUUUCACUAUGCUACACCUAUAGCUCUAGGCAGACUUAAAAAAAAUAUUUUUCUUGUUAAUCUGAACAGAAGGGUUGAUUACUGGAAACAGAAAGGUUCGAUUAUUGGAAAAACAAUUCCUGUAUUGUUAUUCCUUGUUCAUUCAAUUUUAGGUAAUACCUAUAAACUGCUGUAGAGCAUAAAAAUCUGGCUCUCCUUUAGCCUCACACACUUAUAUGCACGUGCACACAUUUCUUUUCCUUAUUUAACAUUUAAUUUCAUAAAUUUUGGUUAAAUCAUGUUGAGUGUUUACAUAUUUAUGACUUUGUUAACAGUAUUCCCUCACUGAAUUGUGAUCAUAUUUCUUUUUUUUUCUUUUGCCUUUAAAUUUAUUUUGUUUUGGCUUACAGUUCCAAAUACCUUGAACUAAUUAUCUCUCAAAUUCUCUGAAAGAGAACUGUAGUGGUCCUUUUAGUCUGAGCCAGAGAGUCAGUUAUGUCAGCAGUUCCUUUGUUGAGUGUGUAUUUUAGAGCCCUCUGUCUUCCUGCUCUCAUUUGGAUUGUGCCUCUCUAGGCCUGCUGCAUAAUUGCCUUCUUGGAUUUUCCUUCCACCAAAACCUGGAGAAUUCCCUAAUCUUUUUUUUUUUUUUUUUUUUUUUUUUUUUUUCUGUUUUCAGGUUUACUUCCUUUCUUGGUUUAUUUCUUUAUUUUGGUGAAGCAUAUAUGCCCUAACUUCCUGGUGUGAAGGAUGCAUUUCAUUAUUUUGUUUCCAAAUUGUGCCUUUAUUCUUCACUUACAUUUGAUUUGUGCUAAGAAUUUUGUUGCUCUUUUGACAUUUUUAUUCCAGAGACUUUGUAUAUGACCUGUAUUUUCUGUCUUAAAGAUUUAGGAUCUUUUCUUUACCUUCAUUUCUGCUGGAGGAAGUCUUUUUCUCCAUGUUAUACUGGAUACUUAUCAAGCUCUGUGUUGCUUAGUUCUCAGACAUUUUCAUAUUUAUUUUUGGCUUCAAGAGAAGAAUAAUAUACUCCAUUUUCUUGGCUUUCUCUUUCUAGAAAUCCUAUUAAUUAUCUAUUAAACCUCCUAGAGUGAUUCUCUAAUUUUCUUUAAUUUUGAUGCCUACUUUAUCUCAUUUUUUGUUCUCACUUUUUAAGAAAUUUUCUCAACUCUUUCUUCCAAACAUCUAUUGACUUUUUUCUUUGUGUGUAUAUAUGUCUGUGUACACACACACACACACACACACACACAGUGUACUUUUUUCUAGGAACUCUUUUUGUUGUUUAAGUCUUCAUAGCUUUUUCUGUUCUUUCAUGGAUACAAUACUUUAUUGUUUCUAUUUAAGUAUAAUAACUUCAGGGUUUUUAAAAAUAAUUUCUUCUAAAUUAUUGUUUCUUCCCAUUCAUUUUUUUCUGCUUAGAUGUCUGUGUUUCAAGUUAGACACUUUCCUUCCAUGCUCAGUGGCUGUUGGAUGUCCCUUCAUAUUUAAGAUGGUUGGGCUCUAGAAAAUCAAUUCACAGCUCUGUAAGGUUGGUAGGGUUUGUCAACUGGUAGAUGGUUAGGUAUUGCUUUUUUAUUGAGGAACCCAAAAAUUAUCUGUAGAUCUUUAUCCUUGGGGUGGUUUACUCAAGGUGAUCCCAACAACACCUCCUGUAGACUUUGAGCCAGUUGUUCCAUUUUGUAGCCCCUUCCUUACCCUGGUCCUAGGAACCUGAGGCUUGAAUUCCUGAGCUAUUUGGAAAUAUUGUGGUGCAGAGAAACUUGCUCCUUGUUGGCUAUUUUGAGCAGGCAUUUCAGGUGUUAGCUUUCUUUUUUAUUAUUAUUUUAUUGGUUCUUUUUAGUUGUACAUGACAGUAAUGACAGUAGAAUCCUUUUUUUUUUUUUUUGUACUGGGGAUUGAACUCAGAGGCACUCAAUCACUGAGCCACAUCUCCACCCUAUUUUGUAUUUUAUUUAGAAACAGGGUCUCACUGAGUUGCUUAGUGCUUCAAGGUUGCUGCGGCUGGCUUUGAACUCGUGAUCCUCCUGCCUCAGCCUCCAGAGCCACUGGGAUUAAAGGCGUGUGCCAUCAUGCCUGGCUAGAAUCCAUGUUGAUGUAAUUAUACAAGCAUGGAAUAUAUCUUAUUCUAAUUCACAUUCCUACCCCCUGCUCCUUCCCCUUCCCAUUCCUACCCACUGCUCCCUUCCCUCUAUUGAUCUCUCUGCCAUUUACCCAUAGUUUCUUUUUUUAAAAUUAAUUUCCUGUGGAUGUACACUAUGAUGAGAUUCGCUGAAAAAACUAGGAAUGGAACCAUCAUUUGACCCAGUUAUCCCACUCCUCAGUAUAUAGCCAAAGGAUUUAAAAUCAGGUUUUAGCUUUCUUUGUUUUGCUAAAUCAACUACAAAUUACCAAUUUGCUUUCUAGCUCCGCCCCCCCACAAUGUUGCCAUUACUCAGUGAUCUCUUUUCCUUUCAUCUUUAUUCUUCUUAAUUUCUUUAAUGUAUUUUAGUGGAGGGCUUCAAAUAGAGCACAAAUAAAUGCCAGUGUGUCUUGUUCAGAAGUAGGUCAUUGCUGUUUGCAUUGUUCUUCAUUGCCCCUUCAUUUAUCUUUUAUCUUUAUUUUAGUCCUUUUACUUCAUGAUUCUUUUUUUUUUUUUUUUUUUUUACUUCAUGAUUCUAAUAGUAACUGAGAUUUACUGAACACUCAUGUACCCGGCACUGUGCAACGUACUUUAUAGAUUAGCCUCCUUAUUCCCCACAAUAUUUACAUGAGGUAGAUGCUAUCAUUAUAAUACCUGUUUUACAGACAAAGAAACUGAGAUUUGAGGAGCUAGGUGACAUAGAGACUUCAGUCAACAAAAACACAGUUGAAUCAAGACUUAACCCAGACAUCGUGAGUCUAGAACUUGUGUUCUUAACCAAUAUACAGUCAUGAUUCUCUAUACUAUUUUGCUAAAUGCUAUUUCAAAAAUAAUUUAAAUAGCUGUUAUGUAAAUAGAUAUUCUACCUGAACUAAUAUUGUGUUUUAUUAGGUCUUUGUAAAUGAAGAUCAUACAGUUAGAGCUUCAAAUGUGUUUACAGUAAUUCAAGAGCUUUCCCUUGUGUUAUAGGUGAGAAAGUAGGCAAACCAGGAAAGUUACAUUAUGUGAUCUGGUUCAUGCUCAGUUGCCUAGAACAUGUAUGUGUGUAUAUAUAUAUAACUGGAAGUUUUAUUAGAAGUCUUACUAGUUUAAUAUAGAAGUAUUUUAGAUUUGUUUCAGAAAGACUAUUUUAGCAUACAAAGUGAAAAUAUUUCCAUGAUGAUAUAAUUUAUUUGAUUAUAUGUCAGAUUCUAUACAUAUGCACUAUAAUUUGUACUGGCUAUACUUGAUCUUUGCCACUGGAGUACCCAUGGUGUGUACAAGAUUUUUUGCUAAAAAUCUUUAUUAUGACUUUAUUAUGACUUUUGUCCUGUUUUCUCAUUUAUUUUUAACAUACUAUAAAAAUAGUGUGUUCCAUUUUUAUUACAUUCUCUUAAAAGGAAUAUAAGUUAUGAGAGGAUGGAUUUGGUCAGAUAUUCUCAGAAUAGAAUAGUCUAAUUCAAACUAAAUGAGAUCAAGUUUUUAUAUUCAUCUUUUUCAUUUAUCUUUUGUCUUUAGAGAAUGGAGAUAGAAAUAGUCAAAAAGUGCACACUCUUCCUAAGCAUUACUUAUCUUACAUCAUCACUUAUAAAUGUGCCUGUAAUGGAUUCAAUGCCAUUAGAAUAAUAUUUGGAAGUACAUUAGAGAUAUAAUUUAGUAGUAAUUUUAGAAAUAAAUCUAACAUAAAAUGAAUUUAGAGUAAAAUAUAAGAUAUAAGAAAAUAUAAAAAUAUAGAAAAAUUAAUAGAAACACAAAAUAAACCUUAAGUCUAACAAUAGCAACAUCAGCUUAUAUUCUUCUCCUGAAGAAAAAAGGUUGUAGUUUUGCUCUGCAAGUGUAGGUUUCCUGGAAACAACCUGUAGUAUAUCCUAAUCAUCACAGACUAGAGUGCAGAGAGUAAGACUCUUUGCUGGGCUCCUUACUUCAGGAAGAGUUUAUAUUUGGUUAGUUCUUUACUAAACUGACAAGAAUCAUAUGUAAAUCAUAUUUUAGAAUUUAUUUCCCAGGUAUUUUCUAAGUUUAAAAGUAUAUUUUGCUUAUGUUAUAAAUCAAAGAUGAAUUUCAUAUGUAAUAAGCAGUAAAAUAUUUUUAAAAAAUGAACAAGCUGGGUAUAGUGGCACACACCUAAAAUCCCAGUGGCUUAGGAGGUCAAGGCAGGAGGAUCGCAGGUUCAAAGCCAGCCUCAGCAAUUUAUCAAGGCCAUAAACAAUUUAGUGAGACCCUGUCUCAAAAAAAACAAAAAGGGUGGGCGGGGGGGGGUUGAGGAUGUUUCUCAGUGGUUAAAUGCCCCUGGGUUUAAUCCCAGUACCUACCUACCAAAAAAAAAAAAAAAGAUUGUUUAGAAACAAACAUUAAAAGGAAAGAUUGAUAAUUUUGACUGUUUGACUAAAUAAAAAUUCUUAAAUCACAGACCACUAUAAACAGAAAUUAAAAAGAAACCACAAUCAAUAGCUAAAAAAUGAAUAACUGUUCAUCUAUAGAGGAAAAUAGCACACGCACUAAUAGUGUUCUAAAGAUAACACAUUCACCAAUAGUGUUAUCUAAAGUAACAAAUUCACAAAGAAAAAAAUGAAAAAAACCCAUAGAUAUGAACAAUUUUCAAACUCAUUUGUAAACAAACAAUGAAUGACCAUAUUCACAUGUUAAAUGAUAAUGGGAAGAGUAUAAUAUGAUAAGCACUCUUGGUAUCAUACCUGACUGAUCAGCAUACACAUUGAUAUGACUUUCUGAUUGUUUUUUGCUUUCAAAGCUCAUAAUUUCUUUAUUUCUUUUCUUAAUUUAGUAAACUUUAUUUUUAGGGCAGUUUUAAUUUUACAGAAAAAUUGAAUAGAAAGUACAGAGAGCUCCCAUAGAUUCCCUUGCCCACCCCCAAUACAGUUUCUCCUAUUGUUGUGGUGCAUUUGAAAUAAAUCACCAGGUCAGUCUUGAAGCAAGACAUGGGACUUUAUUCACAGAUGUGGAUCGGAAUGGCAGUAGGCAAGUUGCCUCUACAACCUUCAACCCCUUGCCAGAGGUAGGGUAUCUCUUUUAUAGCCCAAAACUACAAGUCAAAACCAUAGCAAUAUAGGAAGUGGGUCAGAAUGACCCAGUUCAAGAUACAGUACACUGCCUAAGAAAAAUGGGAAUUAAAAUGAGAACAUUUUACAAAUGCAUUUUUAAAUAAUACAUUGUAUAAGAAUAACAGAAACACUUUCAACCACCCUGCAUUGCCAAACAGGAUAUGCUUAGAAGGAGGUGGCAGAGGCAGGGUUUUCUCAGGAGAAGCAUUUCUUAUAUGAAAUGGAGUCUAAGGGUAAAAAGGAGUUUGUCUGGUCAAGGCACAUGUAAUUUGGCCCAUAACACUACUAUUAACAUAUUGCAUUGAUGUGGUAUAUUUGCUUUAAUUGACAAGCCAGUGUCGAUACAUUAUUAACUAUUGGUUUACACAGGGUUCAUUCUUUGUCUUAUAAAUUAUAUAGAUUUGGGGCUGGGAUUGUGGCUCAGCGGUAGAGCGCUCGCCUAGCAUGGGCGGGACCCAGGUUCGAUCCUCAGCACCACAUAAAAAUAAAAGCAUUGGGUUGUGUCCAUCUACACCUAAAAAAUAAAUAUUUUUAAAAAAAUUAUAUAGAUUUUCACAAAUGCCUAAAGAUAUGUAUCUCCCAUUACAGUAGCAUACAUUAGUUUCAUCACCCUAAAAAUCUCCUGUGCUAUGCUUACUCAUCCCUUCAUCCCUUUCCUUGGACUAUUGGCAACUACUGAUCUUUUGACUAUCUCCAUAGUUUUGUCUUUUCCAGAUGUCUUAUAGAUGGACUCAUAUAGCAUAUAGGCUUUUCAUAUAGUAUAUUGAGUCAUAUAUAGUAUAUUGGCUUCCCCACAUAGUAAUGUACUUUUUUGGGUUGGGAGGUACCAGGGAUUGAACUCAGGGCACUCAACCACUGAGCCACAUCCCCAGCCCUAUUUUAUACUUUAUUUAGAGACAGGCUCUCACUGAGUUGCUUAGUGCCUCACUUUUUGCUGAGGCUGGCUUUGAACUUAUGAUCCUCCUAUCUCAGCCUCUGAGCUGCUGGGAUUACAGGUGUGUGCCACCGUGCCGGGCUACUUAGCAAUAUACUUUUUUUUUUUAUUAGCUACACAUGACAGUACAAUGAUCUUGGCAAUUUUAAUAUAUUAAAAGUAUAUUAGCAAUAUACUUUUAAGGUACAUUUUCAGAUCUUUUCAUGGCUUAAUGGCUAAUUUAUUUUAAUUGCUGAAUACUAUUGAAUAGUAUGGAUAUCUUGGUUGCUUUCGAGUUUUGACAGUUAUACAUAAAGAUGUGAUAAAAGAAUCAAGUGAAAGUUUUUGUGUGGAUGUUAAGGUUUCAACUCACUUGGGCAACAGCAUAUUUAAUUUUGUAAGGAACUGCCAAACUGACUUUCAAAAUGGCUGGGGCACAGCAUUUGGUGUUAUCAGCAUUUUGCAUUUUAGCCAUUCUAAUAGGAGGUUAGUAGUAUCUUGUUGUUUUAGCAUGCAAUUCUCUAAUGAUAUAUGAUGUUGAUGUGACCAUAUUUUAAUUUGCUGAUUUGCCGUCUAUAUAUAUUUUAUGGUAAAAUUUCUGUUCAGAACUUUUGUCUAUUUUUUUUUAAAUUGUGAUAUUUGUUUCCUUAUUGAGUUUUAUAAGAUCUUUUUGUUCUGUUUUAUUUGUUUUGUCUAUUUGGGGUAUCAGUCCAUUAUCAGUUGUAUGUUUUGAAAGUGUGUGUUUUGUUUUCCUAGUCUGUGGCUUGCUUUUUUAAUCUUUUGACAUUGUCUUACCAGAGCAAAAUUUUUAAUCUUAAUGAAGCCCAACUUAUCAAUGUUUUCUUCCAUAGAUCAUGUGUUUGUAUCCCCUAUGUUAUUUUCUGGGAUUUUCAUAGUUUUACAUUUUAUACUUGGAACUAUGAUCAUUUUGAGUUACCUUUUGUGAAAGAUGUAAGAUCUGUGUCUGGAUUCAUUUUUUUCCAUGUGGAUGUUCAGUUGUUCCAGAACCAUUUGUUUAAAUAUUGUCCUGUCUCUACUGAAUUGCCUUUGCUUCCUUUUCAAAGAUAAUUGACUACAUAUUUGUGAGGCUAUUCUGGGCUCACUGUUCUCUGCCAUUGGUCUUUUUGUCUAUUAUUUGACCAAUACUAUCUUGUUUACUGUAACUUUAUGGUUUGAAUUGUGGUGCUGGGGAUUGAACUCAGGGGGCUUCAAGCAUACUAGGCAAGGACUCUGCCAUUGAGCUGAAUCCCAGCCCCUAUGGUAAAUCUUGAAGUUGUGUAGUAUCAGUUCUCUGACUUUGUUCAAUAUCAUAUUGGCUAUUCUGAGUCUUUUGCCUUUCCAUAUAAACAUUAGAAUCACUUUGCCUAUAUCCACAAAAUAACUUACUGGGAUUUUGUUUUGGGAUUGCAUUGAUUUUGUUUAUCAAGUUGGGAAGAACUGAUAUAACAAUAUUGAAUAUUCUUAUCCAUAAUAUGGAAUAUCUCUUCAUUUAUUUAAAUCUUUUGAUUUCUUACAUCAGAAUUUUAUAGUUUUCCUAUCUGGAUAGAAAGAAAUAUUGGAGGGGACUUGUCUGUGAGCUGUUUCCCUCCUCCCCUGCAGCAAGUGAAUUAUGGAGUUUCAGGGACACUUUUCCAGAGCCUGACAAGUGUUAUGUAGGGUUUGGUUUAUUAUACUUCUUGAGAGAAGUCUAUAAUGAAUAGCUUAUCUAUAGUUGGCAAAGUAAAGAGUAUUGCCUUCUUGGUGUUAUGUGACACUCUCCCCAGAGGAGGGCAAAGUUAAAAAACCUGCUUCUUAUGAACCAUAUACAGGCCCUAGAAAAGGGACAUCUUAAAAAGAAUCCUACUAAAGGGGACCAUCUAGUGGGACCACCACAAAUAUAAAAACUGCUGAGAGUUCAGGGCUGGGCAGGAGCAUGUAUAAAUAAGGCUCAGUAACCUAGUCCUCUGCUUCUAAAGUCCCCAGACAUCACACCAGGACCACUCAGGUAGGGCCUUAUUUCCCCACAAUACCUCUCUCUCCUACUCUCUCAACCUCAGAGGGGCCCAACAUAGCAGCUACCAGAGAUAGAAGGUAUAAGGUAAGAAGAAAAGAAACUUACUCCUGUUUUACUAAAACCCAAACCUAAAAUAGUCCUUUCAACUUGUUCUAUAAAUUUGCACAUCCCAAAACAAUGGGAAGCAAACACAUCAAAAUGUUAAAGGUGUUUUUCCACCUCCCUCAUGCUUUGGUGAUCAAGCAAGGGCAGAUAAGCAUAUUGCCACCACACCCAGUGAUACUGAUCAUUUGUAAUAAAUGUCAAGUACUUAUGCAUUUUAAUAAUUGCCAGAGCUUAUUAAAUAAACUUUCUAGUGGACAGAAGAUAUGAAGUCCAGGAUAGAGCUAAAGUGACUGAGGACUACAAUAGGAUUAAGUUUUCUUAAUCAAGUUUAUGAGAUGUUAUUCCACGGUGGAUAUUAUGUGUCUCAAGGUUAGAACAAGAACAAACCCAGCGAUUAGUAAAAUGGGAUAAUCUACUGGGAAAGAGAUGUUUUCACUCAUGAUUAAGAAACUGGUUCACAUCUUUAUACUUUUUAAGUGAAGACAGUCAAAUUUAAUAAUUUAAUGGAAUCUAGUUUAUGAAACUUUAGACUCAUUGUGGCAAGAUGACCAUUGGUAUACUAGAAAGACAACACUGUGACACUUUUGAGUUAGAGCUCAUGAUAUCUCCAGCUAGAUAUUGUACAUGCUCUACCAGUGAAGGUGGGAAGUGGGGAAAAGCCCAAAGAACCAAAAUUUUGCGGUGUUCAACCCUCAGAAUCAAUCUGUCCUGCAGAUGUAAAUCUACAAUGGAAUGCACGACUCAGGUAGAACAUUUCAGUGACACACUGAGUCUACAUACCCACUGUGGCAACUUCUGACUACCAUGUGGCUUCCCUUCUUGAUGUGCCUAUUAGGUAUUUCUACACUUAUUAUUAUAUUGUAAAUAUUCAUUGGAGAAUACUACAUCAGUCAAAUGUCAACUAACAGUUUGAAAAUAUUGGAUAUCUUUUUCUUCAUUAGUGAAAUGGAAAUAGAUUAAUUCAUCUGUUGUUUACUUCUAAAGUUCUGUAGCUUUAUAAAAUUAGUUUAUCUCUAUGGGCUGGGGAUAUAGCUCAGUUGGUAGAGUGUCGCCUCGCAUGCACAAGCCCUGGGUUCAAUCCCCAGACCAUAAAAAAAAAAAAUUAAUUUGUCUCUAAACAAAGUAAUAAAAUUGUUUUGCCCAGAUGUAAUUGAAAAUAUUUCAUAGCAUGCUAAGGAUGUUCAUACUACAUUGUUAAAAAUUAAUGUGUAUAAUUUGAAACCACAUAUGUAUAUAUAAAUACACUUGAAUACACAAACACACACAUAUACAUACAUAUACACAUUAAGUUAUAGUACUCUAUCAAUUAUUGAUUGAUUGUUAUUGCUUAUUCCAGAGUGGGGUAAGAUUUUUAUACCUGUGUAGUCAAUUUUAUUUUCCUCUUCUUGCUCUUCCAUAAUUUCUAUUUAAGAGCUGAUUAAUUUUAUGACAGAAAAUAACAUUCACAUCUGAAAAAAAGUCUUUGUUUUGUUCAUUGUUUUAAUUCAGCACUGCAUGAAGGCUAAUGUACUGAAGGAAGACCCAACAAGGGACCUGAAACAGCUUCUCCAAGAACUGAGAAGUGUGAUUAAUGAGGAACCAUCCUUGCCUCUGACCAAACCUGAGGAGAGUGGGAGAACACCAUCUCUCGGAGCCUUGUAUGUGCUGUAUGGGACCAAGCACACUCGGAGUAGGAAGCUCCUCUCAUGAGUGGUUUGCGAUUAAGUUGUCCACGUUACUCUCUGGGAAGCUGAGGUUUAAAUAAUUUGUAAGAGUGUCUGAAGUUAGCAGGGGGAAGCAAUAUGAAAGUGGAGGAGUUAGACAAAAAUUAACCAAAAGCAAAAAAAAAAAAAAAAGCUUGACAUCAAUAAAAAAUAAUAUAGUCAUUCAUUCAAAAAGUAGCCAGUCCAAGGUGUUACUCAAAGUUAUAUUUGUAUAGGAAUUUAUAAUUCCCAGCAUAUUUGAGAGCCAUAAUCUUAUUUGACCAUCACAACAACCAGCACCUGUUUGCUUGCAACACAUGCUCCAAUGGUGGAGCUAAAACUAGAAACUUGAGAACUGUAUAACACCCUCAAUGUAAACUAGGGAAGAACCUUCAUUCCCUAGGCAUUCAUGACAAUUAGGCAUACCCAAUUAAUAAAAGGUCAGAGCCAAAAAGGAUUUAGUACCUCACUAGUCUGUACUGUGGAAAUCAAUGAGAUUCUCAUAUUCUUUUCAAAAAUGCUUUUUAACUUUAUUGUGCAUUGUCAUUUACCCUACCUUAUCUUAAAGCAUUUUAAAAUGAUGUAUAUUU